This 253-nucleotide ribosomal RNA is filed under the name uncultured bacterium. Its description in RNAcentral is "partial 16S ribosomal RNA". It matches the Rfam family "Bacterial small subunit ribosomal RNA", at positions 524 to 776 of the family's 1533-position model. The record is from RNAcentral.
UACGUAGGGGGCGAGCGUUGUCCGGAUUUACUGGGCGUAAAGCGCGUGUAGGCGGCUGCUUAAGUCGGGUGUGAAAGCCCGGGGCUCAACCCCGGGAUGCCGCCCGAGACUGGGCGGCUUGAGGUCGGAAGAGGGGAGUGGAAUUCCAGGUGUAGCGGUGAAAUGCGUAGAGAUCUGGAGGAACACCCGUGGCGAAGGCGGCUCCCUGGUCCGAUUCUGACGCUGAGGCGCGAAAGCCAGGGGAGCAAACGGG